This 440-nucleotide ribosomal RNA is filed under the name uncultured bacterium. RNAcentral's name for it is "partial 16S ribosomal RNA". It matches the Rfam family "Bacterial small subunit ribosomal RNA", at positions 338 to 795 of the family's 1533-position model. The record is from RNAcentral.
CCUACGGGAGGCUGCAGUGGGGAAUAUUGCACAAUGGGGGAAACCCUGAUGCAGCGACGCCGCGUGAGUGAAGAAGUAUCUCGGUACGUAAAGCUCUAUCAGAAGGAAAGAAAAUGACGGUACCUGACUAAGAAGCCCCGGCUAACUACGUGCCAGCAGCCGCGGUAUUACGUAGGGAGCAAGCGUUAUCCGGAUUUACGGGGGGUAAAGGGAGCGUAGAUGGCGCUGCAAGUCCGGAGUGAAAGCCCAUGGCCUAACCAUGGGACUGCUCUGGAAACUGUAGAGCUUGAGUGCGGGAGGGGCAGGCGGAAUUCCUAGUGUAGCGGUGAAAUGCGUAGAUAUUAGGAGGAACACCGGCGGCGAAGGCGGCCUGCUGGACCGUAACUGACGUUGAGGCUCGAAAGCGUGGGGAGCAAACAGGAUUAGAUACCCCGGUAGUC